CUCGUAGGCGGCUUUGCAAGUCGAUCGUGAAAGCCCGGGGCUUAACCCCGGGACGCCGGUCGAUACUGCCAUGGCUUGGGUCCGGUAGAGGAGAAUGGAAUUCCCGGUGUAGCGGUGAAAUGCGCAGAUAUCGGGAGGAACACCAGUAGCGAAGGCGGUUCUCUGGGCCGGUACCGACGAUGAGGAGCGAAAGCGUGGGGAGCAAACAGGAUUAGAUACCCUGGUAGUC
This 229-nucleotide ribosomal RNA is filed under the name uncultured bacterium. RNAcentral describes it as "partial 16S ribosomal RNA". It matches the Rfam family "Bacterial small subunit ribosomal RNA", at positions 568 to 795 of the family's 1533-position model. The record is from RNAcentral.